UCCUACGGGGCGCAGCAGUGAGGAAUAUUGGUCAAUGGUCGGGAGACUGAACCAGCCAAGCCGCGUGAGGGAUGAAGGUACAGAGUAUCGUAAACCUCUUUUGUCAGGGAACAAAGGCGGGGACGCGUCCCCGGAUGAGUGUACCUGAAGAAAAAGCAUCGGCUAACUCCGUGCCAGCAGCCGCGGUAAUACGGAGGAUGCGAGCGUUAUCCGGAUUUAUUGGGUUUAAAGGGUGCGCAGGCGGUCUGUUAAGUCAGCGGUCAAAGCCCGGGGCUCAACCCCGGCCCGCCGUUGAAACUUGCAGG
RNAcentral lists this ribosomal RNA (305 nucleotides) under uncultured bacterium. RNAcentral describes it as "bacterial SSU rRNA". It matches the Rfam family "Bacterial small subunit ribosomal RNA", at positions 337 to 640 of the family's 1533-position model. The record is from RNAcentral.